Drosophila santomea is the source of this 1489-nucleotide long non-coding RNA. RefSeq lists it as uncharacterized. The record is from RefSeq and is a predicted model, not a curated record. Lineage: Eukaryota; Metazoa; Arthropoda; Insecta; Diptera; Drosophilidae. The transcript has 3 exons.
GGGGUUGGACAGGUGUGGUAAGUAUAAAUGCGUUGGUAUUUUCUUACUUUUAAGACAUUGCGUGGAUGGUAACAUUAACAUAUGGCUUUGCUUUGUUUACAUUUUAGAAUUUCAGGAAAUUUACAUAGGUCAGUUUAAUUGAGUUUAAAAUUAAUUUUUGUUUCUAUUUUCAGGUAUUUUCGCCAGAAGGACGGAAGCACCGAGCCACAGGAGUCAUUGCCGGUGGGGAAUGGGGGUUAUUUGUCCCAGUUCUUUGCAGCCGCAGGCUGCGCGCUAAUUUCGAAUUUGAGUGGGGCCGGCGUUUCUGGUAAGUAUCAUUCAUGGUGGAAAUUUUUGCCAGCUGUUGUUGUUUUGCUUUUGAGUUUUCAUUUUGGUUUCAGCAGUUUCACCAGUCGUCAUUGUUUAAGCUUCGUAUGGAGAUUCCGCGCUGCCGUCAAUUUUGAUUUCCUUGGAGCCGCUGGCAACGUUUGGCGAUGGGGUCUGCUUAUUUUGGGCAGAGAAGUCGUCGCUUUCAGUGGAGUUUGUUGUUGCCAGCGGCGCCGCGUCUGCCAGAUAGUUUGCAGGAGGCUGCCAACCCGCCCGUGGGUCUCAUCGCCAGCCGUCAAAGGUCCAAAGCGCAGUGGAUUCCCGCGCCGCCGUCUUAUUCCAAGGUCCAGGGAGUUGCUGCAUUUCAGCUGGAGUUCUACAUUGCGUAGUGGAUUCCCGCGCCGCCGUCUUAUUCCAGGGUCCAGGGAGUUGCUGCACUUCAGCUGGAGUUCAUCAGGGUAUCGGCGAGAGCGUCGUCAUUGAUUUGGAAUCAUAAGGGUCGUCGCUUUUGUAGGUCGUCUCGCCAGGGAAAAGGAAGCAUCUUUUGGACGCCGGGCCAAGAUGCUUUGCUUUGGGCCGUCGCUCGUAAAAGUCCAUGGAAUUGGAUGCAGAAAAUUGGAUUAGAUAAGUAUAUCUAUGUGUUUAGUUUGGUUUUGUCUGAUUUUAGUUUUUUUUUUUCUUUUCUUUUGCAGGUCCAAAUUGUCCAGGAUUUUUCAAGAUUGUCCGGUGGGAUUGGAAAGGAAACAUUGCCAUGGAGUUAUAAGAAGCAUCGUUUGGGAGGGAUAUUGUCAGUAUACCGUUGCUACCAGGAAAAGGUGGAAUUUAAGGGUCACGAUUUUGACCUUUUGCCGGGUCAGCAGCGCCGCACUUGGAAUUCGUAAGGACGAGAAGGCAUCCCAAUAUGGAAACGGCAUCAAAACAUUUUAGGUUUUUAAUGUUUUAGGUGCCGAAAUCAUUGUUUUUCAUUUCGCCGAGUCGGGAAAUAGGAUUUUGACUGUAUACCGUUGCUGCCAGGGAGAAGUCGAAUUCAAGGGUCGCAAGAUUGACCUUUUGCCGGGUUAGCAGCGGCGCACCUAGAGUUCAGAGGGACGAGGGGGCAUCCCAACAUGGAAAUGGCAUCAAAACAUUAUACAUUUUUAAUGUUUUAGGUGCCAAAAACAUCGUUUUCCGUUGCGCCGAGUCG